UGUAUGUUCAAAUUUAAAUAGUCUUACUGGGAUCCACCACAUUGCUUGUAGAAACUAGCACAGCUGAAUUACACUGCUGCGGCCUCACCAUAAAGCUAAUUGCAAGGAUCGAUCUACAAGCUAUGGCCCAAAAACUGAUUUACUAAAUACAUGUCACAUUUUAAGGACAAGCUCAAACAUAAGCGUUUUGCUGCAGUCAUAAUGCGGAUAAGGGAGCCAAAAACAACAGCUUUAAUAUUUGCAUCCGGUAAAACGAACUUAAAUACCACAGCAGGUGUCUGUGCUCUAAGCACCUAGAUGAUGCGAGUUUAUGGUUCUGCAAGGAAUGAAGAUUGGCAAGUCCAGGAAAUGACAGAAACUGAUGAAAUUUCCCAGUAUUUAUAGCGAAGAGUUCUACCUCGAAUUUCAGCAGGCACUUGUUAUUGGGGUUUUAUAAGUAGGGACUGCAGCAGCUGGAUCUCGUGUCACAUUUCAAUGAUCCAAACCGUUUAUAUGAUGGGCCUCAAAGCAGAUGGGGGCUGCUUGGAUGUCCUGCUCACAUUUGGGGCUUAUUCAACAGCUAGAGGCAUGGUGAUCUCAAGGUUGUUUAUUAGAUUCUUUUGGUUUGGACUCAGUUCAGUAUUUGUAACAUAUAUCUACAUGAAGGUUCUGGAGGAAAAGAUAACCGGAACUCAGAUUCUUUCUAUUUUUGGAUUUAUAUUCUUGUGUUGGGAGUUUAUGCUGGCAUACGCAUAUUUCUUGCUUUGCUACUUAAAUUCCCAGCUUGUCACACCUUGUCAGAGAUGUCUGAUCAGUGGUCAUUCUUUCAAUUUUUUAAGUGGA
Magnolia sinica is the source of this 822-nucleotide long non-coding RNA. RefSeq lists it as uncharacterized. NCBI's taxonomy places the organism in Eukaryota, Viridiplantae, Streptophyta, Magnoliopsida, Magnoliales, Magnoliaceae. The transcript is spliced from 7 exons. The record is from RefSeq and is a predicted model, not a curated record.